GAUGAACGCUGGCGGCGUGCCUAACACAUGCAAGUCGAACGGGAACGGCCCACGGGCGAGAUUUCGGUCAAGCCCCGGACUGUUUUAGUGGCGGACGGGUGAGUAACGCGUGGGCAACCUGCCCCGUACCGGGGGAUAACACCUGGAAACAGGUGCUAAUACCGCAUAAUAAGAGGUCCUGCAUGGGACCUCCUUGAAAACUCCGGUGGUACGGGAUGGACCCGCGUCUGAUUAGCUGGUUGGCGGGGUAACGGCCCACCAAGGCGACGAUCGGUAGCCGGCCUGAGAGGGUGGACGGCCACAUUGGGACUGAGACACGGCCCAG
RNAcentral lists this ribosomal RNA (325 nucleotides) under uncultured bacterium. RNAcentral's name for it is "bacterial SSU rRNA". It matches the Rfam family "Bacterial small subunit ribosomal RNA", at positions 28 to 334 of the family's 1533-position model. The record is from RNAcentral.